GAAGUCAAUUACUACUUAAUAUACACAUGCAAGUCUCCGCCCCCCUGUGAAAACGCCCUUAAACCCCCCCCUUAGGGACAAGGAGCCGGUAUCAGGCACAACAAUUCGCCCAAAACACCUAGCUUUGCCACACCCACAAGGGAGUCCAGCAGUGAUUAACAUUGAAUAUUAGCGAAAGCUUGAUUCAGUUAAAGUAUAUAGAGCCGGCUAAUCUGGUGCCAGCCGCCGCGGUUACACCAUGUGGCUCAAAUUGACCCUCUACCGGCGUAAAGCGUGAUUAAAGCUAUCAACAAUUAGAGUUAAACUAAAACUAAGCUGUGACACGCUUGUUAUUAAGAAGCCCAAACACGAAAGUUACCCUAAUUAAAUCAACUUGA
RNAcentral lists this ribosomal RNA (377 nucleotides) under Dendrophryniscus leucomystax. Its description in RNAcentral is "partial 12S ribosomal RNA". Lineage: Eukaryota; Metazoa; Chordata; Amphibia; Anura; Bufonidae. The record is from RNAcentral.